Long non-coding RNA from Tupaia belangeri chinensis (Chinese tree shrew), 1565 nucleotides. RefSeq lists it as uncharacterized. The record is from RefSeq and is a predicted model, not a curated record. The transcript is spliced from 5 exons. NCBI's taxonomy places the organism in Eukaryota, Metazoa, Chordata, Mammalia, Scandentia, Tupaiidae.
GUCCCCUCCGGGCCCUCAGCUAGCACUGCUGCAUACACGCAGGCCGUGAGGGAGCGGUUUCGUGUGUGUGCGUGUGUGUGGUUCUGUCAUACGUGUGGGCAUGUGUAGUCACCACGACCAGCAUGCAGAGCUGCACAUUACUACAAGGGUCCCUGCACCACAGCCCCCUCCUCCCCGCCCCAUCUGAACAACGGUAGAAUUUAAGCCCCCGGGAACUGGCAGAAACCGUGGGAAGGGCAUUCCUUUCUGCUGAGGCUCCCGUGGGAGGGUUGCGCCUAUCUUAUCUGGAUGGUGACUAAAGGCCGCGGGUUGCUGUCCCGUAAGCCCAGAACAGUGCUGACCCUACUGAAUGUGGCAUUGAUUUCCUUCCAGAGAGCUCACACUCCAAAGUCCUGUCACCUCACAGAGCCAGCAGGCCCCUCGCUGCUCGUGGGCUGCCUCUGAGAAGGCGCAGGGAGAAGGGACAGGAGCUAGCACUGAGUCAGAGACAAGAAAACACAGGGAGGCAAUCAGACGGUUUAUGUAAUGAAGCAUUCUGCUAGCGCUGUGGCCCCUUCGGACCCUCAAUGGAAAUAGCUUAUUGCCCACCAAAGCCUCCAGGAUGCGUCGUGGGAACAGCUGCACGAAGAACCGCCACACGGAUGCCACAGUGCCUCCCAGCCCUGGGCCCCGAUGCUGCGCAGUCCGGGAGUGGAUCUCUCUCAGAGGGCGGCUCAGGUGAACCACUGUGCGACUGAGUCCAGAACAGGGAGCCACGUGCUGACUGGCGGCAACACCAGGCUGGGCCGGCACCGGGAGCUCCUGGGCACUACGUCCCGCACGGCCUAAGGAAGCAGCGAAGUUUGACUCUCCAGCCCCUGACAAGACGUGCGACUGGACCCCAGCCUGGUGAUGUGUCCCUGCAUCUCGGGGAUGUGAGGUCUCCCCUCCCAGCAGAGAAGUUGAAAGAGUGACUUCGUUACUGAGUUUUCAAAUUCUCCCCAGCACGGAUCAGAAAAGACAUUUCUGUUCAGAGCUGCCACAUUACAAGCAGGCGGAACAAUUUGCAUAGUUUCCAGGGGGCUCAGGGGAAGGGGAGCGUUUAGUUCCCAAGCAAUUAUCAUUAUUUUCAAUAGAGUUACGGUGCCACAAAGUGGAUCCAUUUCUUGCUGCAAAAUAAGCAAGAAAUGGAUUAGCUGUUUUUGCAGCACGGUACAUUUCGCUCCUUGGCCACAUUCUGCCGGCGUGGCACUCCUCUGUGUGGGCGUGGAAACUGCCUUCGCUGUCGGUGCUGCAAACUCUCAGGAGACCGACUUGAUGGAGUCCCUGAAGUCAAAGGCACUUUGGGUCCGAAGGGGAAAGUGAGACACCACAGAGGGAGAGAGCGAGCUGCCGAGACAGCUACUGUCGUCAGCACACGGCCAUCUGUUUGCCCGUUCUUGUCGGUCACUCUGGGUCUCCUCCCACUGGCACAGGCCUUGGAAAAGACUGCAGCAGGCCGGGUCACACAGCUAGCAUCCUCCUCACAAAGAGCUGUGUGCAGAGAACGCAGUGUCAACGGGCGCAGUGGAAGGGGAGAAAUCUGG